GGGUAUGUAGCGUAAUGGUUAACGCGUUGGUUUUCGGCACCAAAGAUUGCAGGUUCGAGUCCUGUCAUACUCG
Molecule: transfer RNA, 73 nt
Filed under: Schizosaccharomyces octosporus yFS286
Lineage: Eukaryota; Fungi; Ascomycota; Schizosaccharomycetes; Schizosaccharomycetales; Schizosaccharomycetaceae
Also listed under: 2 other names
Description: tRNA-Arg (TCG) (tRNA-Arg-TCG-1-1)
Rfam family: tRNA
About the family: Transfer RNA (tRNA) molecules are approximately 80 nucleotides in length.
Source: RNAcentral